RNAcentral lists this ribosomal RNA (345 nucleotides) under Gammarus cf. leopoliensis 2S3. RNAcentral's name for it is "partial 16S ribosomal RNA". The stretch from base 70 to 345 matches the Rfam family "Bacterial large subunit ribosomal RNA", at positions 2078 to 2604 of the family's 2925-position model. The record is from RNAcentral. Lineage: Eukaryota; Metazoa; Arthropoda; Malacostraca; Amphipoda; Gammaridae.
CUAGCUUAUUAAGUUUGUUUAAUUAGAGAGAAACUUAAAGUUAAGGUAAGAAUUCUUUAAUUUUCUAGGGGACGAUAAGACCCUAGAAGCUUGACAAACAGGUUUUUUUUAGUUUUAGUCGAUAGUUUGUUUUACUGGGGCGGUAAAAAUAAUUAAGCUAUUUAUAAUUUAAAGGAUCCUUAAAAUAAAGAAAGAAUGGGGAAGUUACUCUAGGGAUAACAGUGCGAUAUUUUUGGAGAGAUCUUAUCGAUAAAUGUGUUUGCAACCUCGAUGUUGAAUUAAAAUGUCUUUAUGACGUAGGAGGUAUAGAAGAAGGUUUGUUCAACCUUUAAAUUUUUACAUGAU